Molecule: ribosomal RNA, 253 nt
Filed under: uncultured bacterium
Lineage: Bacteria
Description: partial 16S ribosomal RNA
Rfam family: Bacterial small subunit ribosomal RNA
Source: RNAcentral
UACGUAGGGGGCGAGCGUUGUCCGGAAUCAUUGGGCGUAAAGCGCGUGUAGGCGGCUUGAUAAGUCUGGUGUGAAACCUUGGGGCUCAACCCCAAGCCUGCACUGGAUACUGUCAAGCUUGAGUCCGGGAGGGGAGAGCGGAAUUCCUAGUGUAGCGGUGAAAUGCGCAGAUAUUAGGAAGAACACCGGUGGCGAAGGCGGCUCUCUGGAACGGUACUGACGCUGAGACGCGAAAGCGUGGGGAGCGAACAGG